UGCAAGUCGAACGCGAAAGUGGAGCAAUCCAUGAGUAGAGUGGCAAACGGGUGAGUAACACGUGGGUGACCUGCCUUCGAGCGGGGGAUAACGUCCCGAAAGGGACGCUAAUACCGCAUAACAUGCCGCCUUUUAACAGGUGGACAUCAAAGCUGGGGAUCGCAAGACCUGGCACUUGAAGAGGGGCCCGCGCCUGAUUAGCUAGUUGGUGGGGUAAUGGCUCACCAAGGCAACGAUCAGUAUCCGGCCUGAGAGGGCGGACGGACACACUGGGACUGAGACACGGCCCAGACUCCUACGGGAGGCAGCAGUGGGGAAUUGUUCGCAAUGGGCGCAAGCCUGACGACGCAACGCCGCGUGGAGGAUGAAGACCUUCGGGUCGUAAACUCCUUUCGAUCGAGACGAAUGGCCUCCGGGUGAACAAUCCGGGGGAGUGACGGUACCGAGAGAAGAAGCCCCGGCUAACUCCGUGCCAGCAGCCGCGGUAAUACGGGGGGGGCAAGCGUUGUUCGGAAUUACUGGGCGUAAAGGGCUCGUAGGUUGCCAACUAAGUCAGACGUGAAAUCCCUCGGCUUAACCGGGGAACUGCGUCUGAUACUGGAUGGCUUGAGUUUGGGAGAGGGACGCGGAAUUCCAGGUGUAGCGGUGAAAUGCGUAGAUAUCUGGAGGAACACCGGUGGCGAAGGCGGCGUCCUGGACCAACACUGACACUGAGGAGCGAAAGCCAGGGGAGCAAACGGGAUUAGAUACCCCGGUAGUCCUGGCCCUAAACGAUGAAUGCUUGGUGUGGCGGGUAUCGAUCCCUGCCGUGCCGAAGCUAACGCAUUAAGCAUUCCGCCUGGGGAGUACGGUCGCAAGGCUG
Molecule: ribosomal RNA, 862 nt
Filed under: uncultured Acidobacteriota bacterium
Lineage: Bacteria; Pseudomonadati; Acidobacteriota
Description: bacterial SSU rRNA
Rfam family: Bacterial small subunit ribosomal RNA
Source: RNAcentral